GCCCGGUUAGCUCAAUCGGUAGAGCGUGAGACUCUUAAAUGGACACACGUUCUGUAAUCUCAAGGUUGCGGGUUCGACCCCCGCAUUGGGCU
Trichoderma asperellum CBS 433.97 is the source of this 92-nucleotide non-coding RNA. The record is from the annotation of a RefSeq genome assembly. Lineage: Eukaryota; Fungi; Ascomycota; Sordariomycetes; Hypocreales; Hypocreaceae.